Aphidius gifuensis is the source of this 274-nucleotide long non-coding RNA. RefSeq lists it as uncharacterized. NCBI's taxonomy places the organism in Eukaryota, Metazoa, Arthropoda, Insecta, Hymenoptera, Braconidae. The transcript is spliced from 3 exons. The record is from RefSeq and is a predicted model, not a curated record.
GCUGAAAGACGAAGGACAUUGCUCUCUGUGCUCCUGCUUUUUUAUUGUUUUUUUGAUGACCUUGAUGACAAGCGACCCUCCGUAUAAAUGAGUAUUUAUGUGUAAACUUCAACAACGAUUUUUGUUUUUCUGCUCCUUGCUGUUUGUCUGAUUUUAAAAGUCUGUCAUGCCUGCUUACUGGAUCUGUUCAAUGACAAAUAAAUUGACUACUUGGGACUGCGUGGGACUCCUCUGCAAAAGGUAUUUGGCAACGUGAAUCAGUUAAAAAUAUUUU